GAUGAACGCUAGCGGCAGGCUUAAUACAUGCAAGUCGAGGGGCAGCAUAAGUAGCAAUACUUGAUGGCGACCGGCAAACGGGUGCGGAACACGUACGCAACCUUCCUUUAAGUGGGGAAUAGCCCGGGGAAACCCGGAUUAAUACCCCGUAAUAUUAUGAUGUGGCAUCACAUUAUAAUUAUAGAUUCAUCGCUUAAAGAUGGGCGUGCGCCUGAUUAGGUAGUUGGCGGAGUAAUAGCCCACCAAGCCUGCGAUCAGUAACUGGUGUGAGAGCACGACCAGUCACACGGGCACUGAGACACGGGCCCGACUCCUACGGGAGGCAGCAGUAAGGAAUAUUGGUCAAUGGACGCAAGUCUGAACCAGCCAUGCCGCGUGGAGGAUGAAGGUCC
Molecule: ribosomal RNA, 392 nt
Filed under: uncultured bacterium
Lineage: Bacteria
Description: bacterial SSU rRNA
Rfam family: Bacterial small subunit ribosomal RNA
Source: RNAcentral